UUACGGCCAUACAUGUUGAAACACCAGUUCUCGCAAGAUCACCGAAGUUAAGCAAUGUCGAUCCUGAUCAGUACCUAUAUGGGUCAUCGCUCGAGAAUACCAGGUGCC
Acanthosepion pharaonis is the source of this 108-nucleotide non-coding RNA. NCBI's taxonomy places the organism in Eukaryota, Metazoa, Mollusca, Cephalopoda, Sepiida, Sepiidae. The record is from the annotation of a GenBank genome assembly.